AUCUCCAACUGGACCUGUGUCUGAGGGGUUAGUAUCUUUUCUGUAAAACAAAUAUUCACGUUUUUGUGCUAUGAUAUUUCAUACAUUAAAUUACACCUUGCAUAUCCACACUUGGUUCAGAACUAACAUCACGCCACCAAACACUUCUGACAUUAUCUUUACAGGGAAGAUUUUCUAAUGGCUGGUGUUGAGGUGCUGAUGACCUAGAUUUGGAUCCUUUUGAAGAAAGUUUCAAAUCCAUGGAUCUAGCUACGGAUGCAGUCCAGAUUGAUGAGGACCAAGCAAACAACUUACUCAACAGUGUGCUGGGAUCCUAAAGGGAAUUUCCAUCCUACUUGUGUGGCUGAAGGACAUCUUCAGCCAGUUUUGGUACAUUUGCCAGAAAGCACAACAUUGUGAUAUGUUUAAUGACAUGUGGGUGGGUGUGCUUCACCAUGUCACAGGGAAGCAUGAAUGGACCCGUGGCAAAUGUGACCAUGGACCACUUGAUGCAACGACCAGUGAUAAAGAGCUCAUGGUGCCAUGAUCUCCACCACACGAGGCUCUUCAACGAAUCAUGUUCAACAGACGCUGGUUGAAGGAUGUCACCAAUCUGACCUUUAGGUAUAUUAAUAACAUUUUCAUAAGCAAAAAAGCUAAAGUGUCAAUAUCAAAGCUGACAAUUUACAUAUAGAAAUGACAAUUGUGGGUGAAAAGGCAAUCAAAAGUGUGAUUCCUAAUAAUCUAUAAAGUUGUAGCUUUUGUUUUUUUUACAGGUCAACUUCAGAACUGGAGAGUUUCCAGAACUGCAUUCUCAUGUAAUCUAUGUAUGAUCUAAUGCUGCUGUUCUCUCUCCAUAAAGGCCCCAGCUACGUGAAGCAUCAAAAGACAGGAAUGACUUCUUUCAUGCACACAGAUUUAUUAGAAA
Molecule: non-coding RNA, 907 nt
Organism: Nothobranchius furzeri (turquoise killifish)
Lineage: Eukaryota; Metazoa; Chordata; Actinopteri; Cyprinodontiformes; Nothobranchiidae
Source: RefSeq, a predicted model, not a curated record